Symphalangus syndactylus (siamang) is the source of this 475-nucleotide long non-coding RNA. RefSeq lists it as uncharacterized. The record is from RefSeq and is a predicted model, not a curated record. Lineage: Eukaryota; Metazoa; Chordata; Mammalia; Primates; Hylobatidae.
AAAAGGAGGAACAGGUCCUGAUAUGGUACAUGGUUCGUUGUUCAACGAUGAAAAGACUCAUCUCUACAAGGCUGCCUUCUGACUUGUGUGAUAAAUCCUGCUCCCUCAAGUCACUUACUUCAGCCACAGCUGCACACAACACAGUCAUCAUCAUCAGAGGGGUCAUCUCCUAAUGGGGAAGGACAGCCCAGCGGAGGAAAUUAUAACGGAUAUCACAUCCUGCCUGUAUAGAUCUGUCAAGUAGAAAGGGCUGCGUGCAGAAUUCUAACUCUGUUCCUUGCAACUCUCCACUGCCUUCCAUUCCUUUUCCAAUUGCCCUGAUUUGAACCAAAUUUUUCAAGUCACUUAACUGACCUCCCUGCCAUUUUUCUUCCUCUACCAAUCCAUUUUACUUAAUUGGAUUAAUUAUUUUUUCCUGAAAGACUUAACAUUUCACUUCUUUGCUAAAAAAUAAACAUACAAACCAACCAAGAAC